RNAcentral lists this non-coding RNA (32 nucleotides) under Geobacter sulfurreducens PCA. Lineage: Bacteria; Pseudomonadati; Thermodesulfobacteriota; Desulfuromonadia; Geobacterales; Geobacteraceae. The record is from RNAcentral.
UAUAAUGAAGAAGGGAGAAUUGAACAAUGGGU